GGCAUAUCUAAAAACAGCUUCUGGUCUGUGAAUUUGUGAGACAGUCUAUGGAGCAUGCUUCUGCCUUACAGGAUGCUCAUAAGAAAUCAGUGUUGUACUCUUGCACAUGCGCAAGUGUACAGCACUGACAUGACAACACGGUUCCGCCAGGCCACCACACGCAAAGACCCAUAAAAGUGACAGAGCUGCUUCAAAUACAGCUUUACCUAUUUUUCCAGAUAAUGAAACACCAGUGUGAACUGUUUUGAAUUAAAAGUGCAUUUUAGAUUGUAGACCAAAAUAGCUCAAAACAUAGCGAAGUCUAGGAAAAGGUUUCCAAUUACAGCUUAAAAUGUAAAACUACUUUUCAUAAUUAGUGAAUGAUUAACCCAGGACAGAGAGGAAAAAAAAGAGCACUCAAUGUAUCCUUCCUGGUAAAAUAUUUUAUAAAUAAAUUAGUACAUUUCAAGUUUUAGACCAAAACAGUCCAUUGGAAAUCCAGUUCAGCUAUGCCUUCAGGUGUACUAUAGGACAUUCCUG
This is a non-coding RNA of Pelobates cultripes (western spadefoot toad), 519 nucleotides long. The record is from the annotation of a GenBank genome assembly. Lineage: Eukaryota; Metazoa; Chordata; Amphibia; Anura; Pelobatidae.